Molecule: ribosomal RNA, 311 nt
Filed under: uncultured bacterium
Lineage: Bacteria
Description: bacterial SSU rRNA
Rfam family: Bacterial small subunit ribosomal RNA
Source: RNAcentral
GACGAACGCUGGCGGCGUGCCUAACACAUGCAAGUCGAACGGAGUUAAGAGAGUUUGCUCUCUUAACUUAGUGGCGGACGGGUGAGUAACGCGUGAGUAACCUGCCUUUCAGAGGGGGAUAACGUUCUGAAAAGAACGCUAAUACCGCAUGACGUCAUAGGACCGCAUGGUCUAGUGAUCAAAGGAGCAAUCCGCUGAAAGAUGGACUCGCGUCCGAUUAGCUAGUUGGCAGGGUGAUAGCCUACCAAGGCGACGAUCGGUAGCCGACCUGAGAGGGUGAUCGGCCACAUUGGAACUGAGAUACGGUCCAG